Long non-coding RNA from Paralichthys olivaceus (Japanese flounder), 961 nucleotides. RefSeq lists it as uncharacterized. Lineage: Eukaryota; Metazoa; Chordata; Actinopteri; Pleuronectiformes; Paralichthyidae. The record is from RefSeq and is a predicted model, not a curated record.
UAGUGACGAACCCCGCUGAGGUUUGCUCCAGGUCAGGUGUCUCCUGGGAGGAAACCAUGACACACGCAUCGUGUCAUCUGUGUUUUCAUUUGAAUGUUUUUGGCCUCUAGAAUCACCACCGUCAACUUCCCUGCAGUGGGCACAAACCUCAAGGACAAACAUACGUCUCCAAGCCGCUCGCUCUGUCACAGGGAAGAAGAAGGAUAAAGAGUCCCUCCACUCCUGCAGAGACUGGCUGAAGUCCACGCUGCUCAUCGGUAUUUUCACAUCUCCUAUAGCAUCGUGCUUUGAGAAACGGUCAAAGUCGUACACCGUCAUCACCAGUGUCUUCCCGCCCAGCUCAGUGAUAUGCAAACUGCUGUCUCUGCCAAACCUGCUGACAUGAAGGGGAGAGGGCAGGACUCGAGAGGAGGAGGCGAGGGAGACGCAGAGUAGAAGCGUCACACGUGGACCUCUGCUGUUCCUCUGUGAGCAGCCAGAGGUGAUGAUCGUGUACCAAGGUCAUGCUCUGUGCACAUUAACAAAGGAUCGAAGCCAAGACUGAACUCUGAAAUAAUGUUGUGAUAUGUUAUUUUCCACUCCGCAGUAAUCAGGAUGUGGGGCUGAAUCAGCAGAUGUGAUCUCAGACUUUACACUGGAUACUUUACCAUUUUUUUCUGGAAAGAUAAUCUCACAUGUUACAGUUGUCUGAUACUGAUCGUGUAUUUUGAACAAUAUUUCAGAUUCUGAUUUGGUCUUUUGAAAGUGUUUAGGAAUGUUUGUUAUGCCAAUAUGAAACAAACAUUACACAAUUACCUACGCAUUCACAAAGUAAUUAUUUACUAAUUAUUUAUGAAUAUUAGUAAAUGUAUAAAUCAUAUUUUUCUCAUUUUUACUGCAGACUCAGGUUAUAGGGAAAGAUUGUCGCACCAUAUAGACCUAACUUCGGUUGUUAAUGCAGCUUUACACUUAAUCCAGCAAG